RNAcentral lists this ribosomal RNA (389 nucleotides) under uncultured bacterium. RNAcentral describes it as "bacterial SSU rRNA". It matches the Rfam family "Bacterial small subunit ribosomal RNA", at positions 355 to 761 of the family's 1533-position model. The record is from RNAcentral.
UCGGGAAUUUUGGGCAGUGGGCGAAAGCCUGACCCAGCAACGCCGCGUGAAGGAUGAAGUAUUUCGGUAUGUAAACUUCGAAAGAAUAGGAAGAAUAAAUGACGGUACUAUUUAUAAGGUCCGGCUAACUACGUGCCAGCAGCCGCGGUAAUACGUAGGGACCAAGCGUUGUUCGGAUUUACUGGGCGUAAAGGGCGCGUAGGCGGCAAUUCAAGUCAUCUGUGAAAUCUCCGGGCUUAACUCGGAACGGUCAGAUGAUACUGCUUUGCUAGAGUGCAGAAGGGGCAAUCGGAAUUCUUGGUGUAGCGGUGAAAUGCGUAGAUAUCAAGAGGAACACCUGAGGUGAAGACGGGUUGCUGGGCUGACACUGGCGCUGAGGCGCGAAAGCC